Molecule: long non-coding RNA, 2563 nt
Filed under: Lathyrus oleraceus (garden pea)
Lineage: Eukaryota; Viridiplantae; Streptophyta; Magnoliopsida; Fabales; Fabaceae
Description: Pisum sativum (pea) long non-coding RNA (PSAT_LNC020177)
Source: RNAcentral
GGUUUAGAUAUGGGGAGGUUAUGUACCAAAAAACUUAUUCAAGCAUUAUAAUGAGUCGGGUUUGCUGGCGGUUGUAGCUGUUGGGGGUGGAAGGAAGUAGGUGGUUGGUUUUUUUUGCAGAAGUUGUUAGGUUUUUGUAUGGAUCUAACGGCGGUGAAGCGAAGUGAUGGCGGUAAAGAACAACGAGGUUUAAUAGUGACGGUUGAAGCCGGAGGAGACGGUCGUUGAGGGUUUGAGAGGUGAGGUGCGGUUGUGAAAUGGAGAUGGUUGACGAACGGAGGGAGCUAGCGGAUGUAUUCGGUUCAGUGGCCGGUCAUUUGGAGUGGGUUGUGGAAGGAGAUUUUCGGUGAGGGUUUCGUGGUGGUAGAUCAGAGAGAAAAAAGGUCGCGUGGUUUGAAGGUGAUGGUGGCGAGGGUUUGACGGCGGAAUGUUUAUGAGGGGUUGUGUCGUUAGCGGUGGUGAGUGGUUGAUGGUCGAUUGAAGAAGAAAAAGGAGAUGGUGAUGGUUCUGUGUGUGGGAAGUAGAUCGGAGGGUUUGAACAGACGGGGUAUGGUUGAAGUGGGAUUUCGGCAAGGUAACAGUAUAUUUGUUCUUUUUCCUUCCCAAUGAUUCGACGCAUCCUUUUAUAGGCGAAGUUUGUGGUCCCUCUGAGUAUAAGCUGGCUCGGAUUGCAUAAUUAUUCGGUUAGAAUUGGAUCAUUCCCAGAUUUGGUGGGGACCAAAUACGUGACAGGUAAGAAUCUCUCUCUCUGUAGUGUAAUCUCAAAUCCUUCUAGAACAUGUGGUCCCAUAGGAGAAAAUCUCACUGCUUGUUGUCACGUUAUGCUUGUUGUUUGUUGAACGCAGGAUCUCAUUGGCGGCAUGACAAGUCCUUAUUCUCUGCCUUGGUUGUGAAGCGGCUUACGUUUUGAAUUGAGAUUAGAGUGUGAGCAUCUAAGAAGGGUGAAAACGAUGGUGGACGUUAGCAUUCGUCCGCUUUCCGAGGCUUGGAUUUGUUUUUGAGAAGAAUUUCGGUUGAAUUUCCCCUGUGAAACUUUACUUGUUAGCUUCUUGAUUUUGGUUGAAAAUCCAACUUUCUGUAUGCAUUGCCGGUGUUUGUUUUUAUUUACUUUGGCUUGAUCUCUUGGCUCUCAUCAAGUCAAUUGUUCAUGCUGCUGGAUUGUACAUGUUUGUGUGUAUGAAUUACUAUUAUGUAACCUUUACUCACACACUUGAUUUUGCAGGUUGCACUUGUGAAAUUAGUUUGCAGGUUCAACAGUACUGAAUGGAUCUCCUCUUGCAAGCUUAAGUUUAUUUUUGAAAGUGGUAUUUGAGAAGAGUGAACUUAUUAGCUCAUUAUGCAUUCCUGUUCUUCGGAUAACUUGCAGGAAAGGCCCCCAUUAGGUUGAAGCAAUUUCGUCUGCUAUUUGGAUGAGUCAGAGGUAUCUAUUUAAAAACUGCACAACCUAAACGUUCCUGUACUUUCAGAAUCCAUGUACCUUUGUAGCAUGAAUUUGUGUUGUUGCUUGGUACUUUUGAGUUUGAUCUGGUAUACGACUUACCGCAGAUUUUGAUGUUACCACUGAUGUGUUGUAGAGUACUGAUUAUCUCAUUCCUAUUGGUAAGCCUGUGGUACUAUCUGGCGGCAAUCCUCCAAGAAGAUUGACAAAUGCUGCAGGUAUCAUCGCCUACAGAGUUUAAACCAUGUAUUUGAUUGUUUUGUAUGAUGAUGUUACCGGUGUAUUCAAUCCGUGUUGGUAACCUGCUGCAGGUUUUGGUUGCAUUUACCCUGAACAUUGUUUAGAUGGCAUGUUCAUGUUUUAAUUUUAUGUUAUGCAUUUCUAGAUUAUGCUGCAGUAGAAAGCAAUUUAGCCGACGACUGUCGUGGGCCCUGCCCUUGAUUAAUAAUCCAACUCAAUUGCAGCUAAAUUUCCAACAGAUGUGCCCUCCACAAUGCUCACUUGACUAGCUGGAUUGGGCAUGGGGGAACCAAAUGGUGGUUCUGAUGAUUUCCACUCAGAAAACGCGGUAUGAGCAAUUGCUAACACACUAAUUAAAUCCAUAGAUCCUUGAGAUAUUGAGGUGCUUGUACUAACUUGAGAAGCACUAUUUCCAGGACCUUGAUCAAUUUUAAGUGAAUCAGGUUAAGAUGCAUUUAAUAACUCAAAAUGCACCUGCAGUUGGUGAUGGUUGGGAGCAACGGCAGCAGGCUGUGCUGGUGUAGCUAUAUGACCUGAAAUAUACGGGGAAACCGGUGGCUUGGGUGGUUCGCUUGGAUCUAUACCAGAUCCAAAACAUAAAGCUUGCCCCUGCAUCAUUUGUGUGUUUUGAUUAACUUUCUCAACAGGUUGGCUUCCUGAAGCAGUUGCCUUUCCUUUGCCAAUCGGAUUGCAUAUGCCUGUUGUGAAUUUGAGGCAUGGUUUUGUAUAUGAUGUACUGAUGCUUAGGUCAUGUACUUUGGUCAUUGUAUUGUGUAUGUCAGCAUGUGAGUUGGUUUUUGGUUGUAAUGAGAAUGGACAAGGUUUAUGUGUUUUGGUUAUAAUAAUUUAUGUAAUGACAGUUUGGCUUUUGAAAUGAACAUGGUU